This 390-nucleotide ribosomal RNA is filed under the name uncultured bacterium. RNAcentral's name for it is "bacterial SSU rRNA". It matches the Rfam family "Bacterial small subunit ribosomal RNA", at positions 144 to 518 of the family's 1533-position model. The record is from RNAcentral.
UAGCCCAGGGAAACCUGGAUUAAUACCGGAUGAGACGGGACCCGCGAUCGGCGGGAUCCGGGAAAGGCGCUGCGGCGCCGCCGGGGGAUGAGUCUGCGUCCCAUUAGCUAGACGGCGGGGUAACGGCCCACCGUGGCGACGAUGGGUAGCCGGCCUGAGAGGGUGACGGCCACAUUGGAACUGAGACACGGUCCAGACUCCUACGGGAGGCAGCAGCUAAGAAUCGUUCCGCAAUGGGCGAAAGCCUGACGGAGCGAACCGCCGCGUGAACGAAGAAGGCCGUGAGGUUGUAAAGUUCUUUUCGGGAGGGGGAACAACCGUGGCAGGGAAUGGCCGCGGGAUGACGUGAAUCCCGGAAUAAGCCCCGGCUAACUACGUGCCAGCCGCGGC